RNAcentral lists this unclassified non-coding RNA (335 nucleotides) under soil metagenome. Its description in RNAcentral is "partial contains 5.8S ribosomal RNA, internal transcribed spacer 2, and large subunit ribosomal RNA". The stretch from base 1 to 120 matches the Rfam family "5.8S ribosomal RNA", at positions 35 to 154 of the family's 154-position model. The record is from RNAcentral.
GAUGAAGAACGUAGCGAAAUGCGAUAAGUAAUGUGAAUUGCAGAAUUCAGUGAAUCAUCGAAUCUUUGAACGCACAUUGCGCCCGCUAGUAUUCUAGCGGGCAUGCCUGUUCGAGCGUCAUUUCAACCAUCAAGCCCCAGGCUUGUGUUGGAGCCCUGCGACCGUUCGCAGCCUCCUAAAAUCAGUGGCGGGCUCGCUAUCACACCGAGUGCAGUAGUUUACUCUUCGCUCAGGACGUGUAGCGGGUUCCGGCCGUGAAACCCCCCAAUUUUCAAGGUUGACCUCGGAUCAGGUAGGAAUACCCGCUGAACUUAAGCAUAUCAAUAAGCGGAGGA